RNAcentral lists this ribosomal RNA (253 nucleotides) under uncultured bacterium. RNAcentral's name for it is "partial 16S ribosomal RNA". It matches the Rfam family "Bacterial small subunit ribosomal RNA", at positions 524 to 776 of the family's 1533-position model. The record is from RNAcentral.
GACGUAGGGGGCAAGCGUUGUCCGGAUUUAUUGGGCGUAAAGAGCGUGUAGGCGGCCAGAUAGGUCCGUUGUGAAAACUGGAGGCUUAACCUCCAGCUGUCGAUGGAAACCAUCUGGCUAGAGUCCGGAAGAGGAGAGUGGAAUUCCUGGUGUAGCGGUGAAAUGCGCAGAUAUCAGGAAGAACACCCGUGGCGAAGGCGGCUCUCUGGGACGGUACUGACGCUGAGACGCGAAAGCGUGGGGAGCGAACAGG